RNAcentral lists this long non-coding RNA (252 nucleotides) under Lathyrus oleraceus (garden pea). RNAcentral's name for it is "Pisum sativum (pea) long non-coding RNA (PSAT_LNC026147)". Lineage: Eukaryota; Viridiplantae; Streptophyta; Magnoliopsida; Fabales; Fabaceae. The record is from RNAcentral.
GUUUCGCUAGGUCGUAUCCCAUCAUUUUUAAUAUGAGGUACGACAGAUGGCGACUCUGCUGGGGAAAACCACGUUCCCUAAGCGAGUCAAGCCUAGUUAGGACGUUUGUGUGCCUUUGUUUGUUUAAUUGUGUGGUUUUUCCUUAUUUAUUGCUUUUUAUUAUCUUUAUUAUUUUAUUGAUAUAUCUGUUGUAUAUUGGUUCUAUUGUGAUUGUUGGUAUUUGGGUAUUUGAUUGCAAACCAUGUGGGAAAG